RNAcentral lists this ribosomal RNA (301 nucleotides) under uncultured bacterium. Its description in RNAcentral is "partial 16S ribosomal RNA". It matches the Rfam family "Bacterial small subunit ribosomal RNA", at positions 509 to 807 of the family's 1533-position model. The record is from RNAcentral.
CAGCAGCCGCGGGAAAACAGAGGGUGCGAGCGUUAAUCGGAUUUACUGGGCGUAAAGCGUGCGUAGGCGGCUUCUUAAGUCGGAUGUGAAAUCCCUGAGCUUAACUUAGGAAUUGCAUUCGAUACUGGGAAGCUAGAGUAUGGGAGAGGAUGGUAGAAUUCCAGGUGUAGCGGUGAAAUGCGUAGAGAUCUGGAGGAAUACCGAUGGCGAAGGCAGCCAUCUGGCCUAAUACUGACGCUGAGGUACGAAAGCAUGGGGAGCAAACAGGAUUAGAGACCCCUGUAGUCCCUGUCUCUUAUAC